Molecule: ribosomal RNA, 856 nt
Filed under: Stellarangia namibensis
Lineage: Eukaryota; Fungi; Ascomycota; Lecanoromycetes; Teloschistales; Teloschistaceae
Description: partial large subunit ribosomal RNA
Source: RNAcentral
UCAGUAACGGCGAGUGAAGCGGCAACAGCUCAAAUUUGAAAUCUGGCCCUUCCAGGGWCCGAGUUGUAAUUUGUAGAGGAUGUUUCGGGCGCGGCGCCGGUCUAAGUUCCUUGGAACGGGGCGUCAUAGAGGGUGAGAAUCCCGUAUGUGACCGGUGACCAAGCCCGUGUGAAACUCCUUCGACGAGUCGAGUUGUUUGGGAAUGCAGCUCAAAAUGGGUGGUAAAUUUCAUCUAAAGCUAAAUACCGGCCAGAGACCGAUAGCGCACAAGUAGAGUGAUCGAAAGAUGAAAAGCACUUUGGAAAGAGAGUCAAAAAGUACGUGAAAUUGUUGAAAGGGAAGCGCUUGCAACCAGACCUGCCCGCGAGCGAUCAGCCGUCCUUUUGGGCGGUGCAUGCGCCCGCGAGCAGGCCAGCAUCGGUUCCGGCGGUCGGAUAAAGGCCUUGGGAAYGUAGCUCCUUUCGGGGAGUGUUAUAGCCAUGGUGCAAUGCGACCAGCCGGGAUCGAGGACCGCGCUUCGGCGAGGAUGCUGGCGUAAUGGUUGUAAGCGGCCCGUCUUGAAACACGGACCAAGGAGUCUAACAUCUGUGCGAGUGUUUGGGUGUCAAACCCAUGCGCGUAAUGAAAGUGAACGGAGGUGGGAACCCCUCCAGGGCGCACCAUCGACCGAUCCAGAUGUCCUCGGAUGGAUUUGAGUACGAGCAUAGCUGUUGGGACCCGAAAGAUGGUGAACUAUGCCUGAAUAGGGUGAAGCCAGAGGAAACUCUGGUGGAGGCUCGCAGCGGUUCUGACGUGCAAAUCGAUCGUCAAAUUUGGGUAUAGGGGCGAAAGACUAAUCGAACCAUCUAGUAGCUGG